GACGAACGCUGGCGGCAGGCUUAACACAUGCAAGUCGAGCGCCCCGCAAGGGGAGCGGCAGACGGGUGAGUACCGCGUGGGAACGUACCUUUUGGUUCGGAACAACUCCGGGAAACUGGAGCUAAUACCGGAUAAGCCCUAACGGGGAAAGAUUUAUCGCCGAAAGAUCGGCCCGCGUCUGAUUAGCUAGUUGGUGAGGUAACGGCUCACCAAGGCGACGAUCAGUAGCUGGUCUGAGAGGAUGAUCAGCCACACUGGGACUGAGACACGGCCCAGACUCCUACGGGAGGCAGCAGUGGGGAAUAUUGGACAAUGGGCGCAAGCCUGAUCCAGCCAUGCCGCGUGAGUGAUGAAGGCCUUAGGGUUGUAAAGCUCUUUUGUCCGGGAAGAUAAUGACUGUACCGGAAGAAUAAGCCCCGGCUAACUUCGUG
RNAcentral lists this ribosomal RNA (431 nucleotides) under uncultured bacterium. RNAcentral's name for it is "partial 16S ribosomal RNA". It matches the Rfam family "Bacterial small subunit ribosomal RNA", at positions 28 to 507 of the family's 1533-position model. The record is from RNAcentral.